GGGCCCGUAGCUCAGCUAGGCUAGAGCGCCAGGCUCAUAACCUGUCGGUCGGGUGUUCAAAUCGCCCCGGGCCCACCA
This 78-nucleotide transfer RNA is filed under the name miscellaneous Crenarchaeota group-1 archaeon SG8-32-3. RNAcentral's name for it is "tRNA-Met". It matches the Rfam family "tRNA". Rfam says of the family: Transfer RNA (tRNA) molecules are approximately 80 nucleotides in length. Their secondary structure includes four short double-helical elements and three loops (D, anti-codon, and T loops). Further hydrogen bonds mediate the characteristic L-shaped molecular structure. tRNAs have two regions of fundamental functional importance: the anti-codon, which is responsible for specific mRNA codon recognition, and the 3' end, to which the tRNAs corresponding amino acid is attached (by aminoacyl-tRNA synthetases). tRNAs cope with the degeneracy of the genetic code in two manners: having more than one tRNA (with a specific anti-codon) for a particular amino acid; and 'wobble' base-pairing, i.e. permitting non-standard base-pairing at the 3rd anti-codon position. Lineage: Archaea; Thermoproteati; Candidatus Bathyarchaeota. RNAcentral also lists the same sequence under 1 other name. The record is from RNAcentral.